CCUACGGUGGGCAGCAGUGGGGAAUAUUGCACAAUGGGGGAAACCCUGAUGCAGCAACGCCGCGUGAGUGAGGAAGUAUUUCGGUAUGUAAAGCUCUAUCAGCAGGGAAUAGAAAAGAAGGUACCUGAAAAAGAAGCCCCGGCUAACUACGUGCCAGCAGCCGCGGUAAUACGUAGGGGGCAAGCGUUAUCCGGAUUUACUGGGUGUAAAGGGAGCGUAGACGGAAAGGCAAGUCAGAAGUGAAAGCCCAAGGCUCAACCAUGGGACUGCUUUUGAAACUGUCAAACUAGAGUACGGGAGAGGUAAGAGGAAUUCCUUGUGUAGCGGUGAAAUGCGUAGAUAUAAGGAAGAACAGCAGUGGCGAAGGCGGAUUACUGGACGAUAACUGACGGUGAGGCGCGAAAGCGUGGGGAGCAAACAGGAUUAGAUACCCGUGUAGUC
RNAcentral lists this ribosomal RNA (441 nucleotides) under uncultured bacterium. Its description in RNAcentral is "partial 16S ribosomal RNA". It matches the Rfam family "Bacterial small subunit ribosomal RNA", at positions 338 to 795 of the family's 1533-position model. The record is from RNAcentral.